Molecule: ribosomal RNA, 468 nt
Filed under: uncultured bacterium
Lineage: Bacteria
Description: partial 16S ribosomal RNA
Rfam family: Bacterial small subunit ribosomal RNA
Source: RNAcentral
GACGAACGCUGGCGGCGUGCUUAACACAUGCAAGUCGAACGGAAAGGCCCUGCUUUUGUGGGGUGCUCGAGUGGCGAACGGGUGAGUAACACGUGAGUAACCUGCCCUUGACUUUGGGAUAACUUCAGGAAACUGGGGCUAAUACAGGAUAGGAGCUCCUGCUGCAUGGUGGGGGUUGGAAAGUUUCGGCGGUUGGGGCUGGACUCGCUGGUUAUCAGCGUGUUGGUGGGGUAGGUGCUUACCAAGGCUUUGACGGGUAGCCGGCCUGAGAGGGUGAGCGGCCACAUGGGGACUGAGAUACGGCCCAGACUCCUACGGGAGGCAGCAGUGGGGAAUAUUGCGCAAUGGGCGGAAGCCUGAUGCGGCGACGCCGCGUGCGGGAUGACGGCCUUCGGGUUGUAAACCGCUUUCGCCUGUGAUGAAGCGUGAGUGACGGUAAUGGGUAAAGAAGCACCGGCUAACUACGUG